GAAUUAAAUUCAUAUGGAGAAGGGGUUAGUGUUAGGUGGGGAUUCAAUUGAGGACUCAUAUCGGCAGCUGAGUUUUAUGAUUCUUCGUAUGGGAGCUAAAUUGUACUUGGUGUAAAAACCACUUAGUUUCUGGUAUUGAUAAUCAUUGAAAUGUUUAUGUCGCGCUAUUUGUUAUAUGCACAUUAAGAGGAUGACUCCAUUCUCAGGUGUAUAACAGAUAGAUAGGUCAUAAGUAGAGGAUAUAAGGAUUAAGUACGAGUUCUUAAAACUCAUACUUAUGGUACGUUCGUGACUCAUGAUUAUAUGAAAUGUUUAUGGACCCCUCAGCGAAUGGACGCCAAAGGUCUGNNNN
RNAcentral lists this long non-coding RNA (352 nucleotides) under Panax ginseng (ginseng). Its description in RNAcentral is "long non-coding RNA (PGIN_LNC019149)". Lineage: Eukaryota; Viridiplantae; Streptophyta; Magnoliopsida; Apiales; Araliaceae. The record is from RNAcentral.